AAAAAUUUUAAAUCUAACUCACUUUUUGGUGGUCCAUAUAUUUCACAAAUAGAAACUUGACUGAAAGGUAAAACUACAUUCCUGCCCUGACUAAAAAAAUAUAGAGCUGCAGUUUAUAAUUUAUACAACCACACACACAUAAUCAGUCCCAAAUGAGUACUAGAGGUAGAGCUGUCAAAUGGUCGGGCCGUCCAUGGGCUUGACCAGUCCAAACUGUGAUGGGCGGUUCAUGGGCUUGACCAAAUAACAAAUGGUCCAAUUGGGCGUAAAACCGUUUUCACCCGUGGACAAUUUGGUCCUGCCCGAAUGGACUCUGGGCGGCCCAAACCAUUAAAAAAAUUAGGGUUUUUUUAAUUUGGGGAAAAAUAAUUUUCGCGAUUCUGGUGAUUCUCGCGGUUCUGGCGAUUCUCCACUUCUCCUCCAUUCCUGCCCUGACUAAAAAAAUAUAGAGCUGCAGUUUAUAAUUUAUACAACCACACACACAUAAUCAGUCCCAAAUGAGUACUAGAGUCUAGAGGAAUCUCUGGCUAUAAUCCAGAGAGCAUGUAUUUCACGUGAUCAGUUUCGCCUACCAGUGUUGCUAUUUGAGGACGAACACUAAGUACCAGUCCAUAAGUCAUGUCAUGUUCUGAGCAGCCAUU
Molecule: long non-coding RNA, 641 nt
Filed under: Brassica napus (rape)
Lineage: Eukaryota; Viridiplantae; Streptophyta; Magnoliopsida; Brassicales; Brassicaceae
Description: long non-coding RNA (BNAP_LNC006126)
Source: RNAcentral